Molecule: ribosomal RNA, 466 nt
Filed under: uncultured bacterium
Lineage: Bacteria
Description: partial 16S ribosomal RNA
Rfam family: Bacterial small subunit ribosomal RNA
Source: RNAcentral
GAUGAACGCUGGCGGCGUGCUUAACACAUGCAAGUCGAACGAUGAAGCCCAGCUUGCUGGGUGGAUUAGUGGCGAACGGGUGAGUAACACGUGAGUAACCUGCCCUUAACUCUGGGAUAAGCCUGGGAAACUGGGUCUAAUACCGGAUAGGAGCGUCCACCGCAUGGUGGGUGUUGGAAAGAUUUAUCGGUUUUGGAUGGACUCGCGGCCUAUCAGCUUGUUGGUGAGGUAAUGGCUCACCAAGGCGACGACGGGUAGCCGGCCCGAGAGGGGGACCACGCACCCUGGUCCUACGACACGGCGCAGACUCCUACGGGGGGCAGCAGGGGGGAGUAUUGCACAGUGGGCGCACGUCUGAUGCAGAGACGCCGCGUUAGUGAUGACGGCCUUCGGGUAGUAAACAGCUUUCGGUAAGGAAGCAGCGGAAGUGACGGUACCUAAAGAAGAAGCACCGGCUAACUACGUG